Molecule: ribosomal RNA, 253 nt
Filed under: uncultured bacterium
Lineage: Bacteria
Description: partial 16S ribosomal RNA
Rfam family: Bacterial small subunit ribosomal RNA
Source: RNAcentral
UACGUAGGGUCCGAGCGUUGUCCGGAAUUAUUGGGCGUAAAGAGCUUGUAGGCGGUUUGUCGCGUCUGCUGUGAAAAUCCGGGGCUCAACCCCGGACUUGCAGUGGGUACGGGCAGACUAGAGUGUGGUAGGGGAGACUGGAAUUCCUGGUGUAGCGGUGAAAUGCGCAGAUAUCAGGAGGAACACCGAUGGCGAAGGCAGGUCUCUGGGCCACUACUGACGCUGAGAAGCGAAAGCGUGGGGAGCGAACAGG